Molecule: long non-coding RNA, 706 nt
Filed under: Mus caroli (Ryukyu mouse)
Lineage: Eukaryota; Metazoa; Chordata; Mammalia; Rodentia; Muridae
Description: RIKEN cDNA 4930520M14 gene (MGP_CAROLIEiJ_G0003797.1)
Source: RNAcentral
AGACAGGCUCAGAAGUCACCUGUGCUGGCCACUCAUUUACUUCUGACAUACUACAGGCUCCAGGCUAAAACAUUAUUGGCCUCAAACAUGGGCUAUGUGGCUAUCAGGUGGGGACAACCUGUCUGAAAACAUAAGAUUGCGUGCGCCCAGCAAGUGCAACUUGACUGAGGAUGGAAAUGGAAAACAGAGUAGUCACACUCGCAGCUGACCACUGCUGUCUAAAAGCGUCCUCUUGGGGCCAGUUCAGGAGAAAAGGGUUCUCUACAUGCCGUCAAAGCCAUGACAGCCUGUCCAUAAUCCCAGUGCUCAGGAAGUGGAGAUCCCAGGAACAAAGCGGCUAGCUAGACGGACCAACCAAACAUGGUGAACUCUGAACUCAGCGAGAUCUCACACGAAUAAAAAAGGUUUUCUUGUGGAUUCACCUGCAUAGGGGGAACCAUUGAAGAACUCAGCACAUAUAUCUCACAGGCCUCCCACAUCUUGCUAGGCACCCAAUUUUCCGGCCUGCCAGGCAUGCCCUAACCUAGUAGUACAACUGAUUCUCCUUAGCAUACAGGACAGCUUGGAGGAGGCAAACUGGAAAGAACAGAGGAGCAAGCAUCUGCUGACUCAAGGACCCAGACAUCCUGUCUGGAGCAUGCGCCUCCCAAAGACAGCCCAUCGUCCAGAGUCUCUGGUGGAUGCUCAAACUAUUAAAGCAAGUGAC